AUUGAACGCUGGCGGCAUGCCUAACACAUGCAAGUCGAACGGCAGCAUGGCUUGUAGCAAUACAAGCUGAUGGCGAGUGGCGGACGGGUGAGUAACGCGUAGGAAUCUGCCCUGUAGAGGGGGACAACCCGGGGAAACCCGGGCUAAUACCGCAUAGAACUCUGAGGAGGAAAGCCAGUGGCAACAUUUGCGCUAUGGGAGGAGCCUGCGUCCGAUUAGCUAGUUGGUGGGGUAAGAGCUCACCAAGGCGAUGAUCGGUAGCUGGUCUGAGAGGAUGACCAGCCACACUGGGACUGAGAAACGGCCCAGACUCCUACGGGAGGCAGCAGUGGGGAAUAUUGGACGAUGGGGGCAACCCUGAUCCAGCAAUGCCGCGUGUGUGAAGAAGGCCUUCGGGUUGUAAAGCACUUUAGGCGGGGAAGAAGAUAUGGUGAUGAAUCAUAUUUGACGGUACCCGCAGAAUAAGCACCGGCUAACUCUGUGCCAGCAGCCGCCGUAA
Molecule: ribosomal RNA, 499 nt
Filed under: uncultured bacterium
Lineage: Bacteria
Description: partial 16S ribosomal RNA
Rfam family: Bacterial small subunit ribosomal RNA
Source: RNAcentral